AAGCUCUGCAGAGACAAGAGAACUGAAAGAAAUAAUCAUGUCUGUCUGGUCCAAAUGGAGAAGAUGAGGAAAGAGAAACAUCAGAGUAGACAUUACUGGAUGUAAGAGGAAAAGCUAGGUAUGUGAUAUGACUGUGCAAAACUCUACAGAGAUGAAAGAAGUCAUCAGUGCGUUCUGUUCUGAAUGGAGAUGAGGAAAGAGAACAUCUACAUCAUAGGAGACAUCAUUGGAUGUGAUAGGAACAUCAACUCUGUUACAAAUCUUUGUGUCAUCAGCAAAAAGACACACCUUACCAUCGAG
This is a long non-coding RNA of Bufo gargarizans (Asiatic toad), 300 nucleotides long. RefSeq lists it as uncharacterized. The transcript is spliced from 3 exons. Lineage: Eukaryota; Metazoa; Chordata; Amphibia; Anura; Bufonidae. The record is from RefSeq and is a predicted model, not a curated record.